UUCCAAAGUGUUGAGUUCAUUCCAGGAUAUCUUCUUUGCUCUAUUAAUUAAACUUUGGAAUACUGAAGCUGGCUAGUGAAAAUGACUGGAUAAAAAAUAUUAUUCUAUGCAUUUAAUCCACAGUCAACAAAA
This is a small nucleolar RNA of Nannospalax galili (Upper Galilee mountains blind mole rat), 132 nucleotides long. Lineage: Eukaryota; Metazoa; Chordata; Mammalia; Rodentia; Spalacidae. The record is from Ensembl.